This 74-nucleotide transfer RNA is filed under the name Ipomoea nil (Japanese morning glory). It matches the Rfam family "tRNA". From Rfam's summary of the family: Transfer RNA (tRNA) molecules are approximately 80 nucleotides in length. Their secondary structure includes four short double-helical elements and three loops (D, anti-codon, and T loops). The record is from Rfam by way of RNAcentral. Lineage: Eukaryota; Viridiplantae; Streptophyta; Magnoliopsida; Solanales; Convolvulaceae.
GUUGGAAUAGCUUAAUUGGUUAAAGUAUGUGGUUGUUAACCACAAUGUUGGAGGUUCAAGCUUUCCUUUUAGCG